This 72-nucleotide transfer RNA is filed under the name Coluber constrictor (Eastern racer). RNAcentral describes it as "tRNA-Asn". It matches the Rfam family "tRNA". Rfam says of the family: Transfer RNA (tRNA) molecules are approximately 80 nucleotides in length. Their secondary structure includes four short double-helical elements and three loops (D, anti-codon, and T loops). The record is from RNAcentral. Lineage: Eukaryota; Metazoa; Chordata; Lepidosauria; Squamata; Colubridae.
UAGACUAAAGUCCGCCGGUUUGGACAGCUAGCUGUUAACUAGUAUUUGUGGGAUCGAGGCCCGCUAGUUUAG